RNAcentral lists this ribosomal RNA (231 nucleotides) under Vogesella indigofera. Its description in RNAcentral is "partial 23S ribosomal RNA". It matches the Rfam family "Bacterial large subunit ribosomal RNA", at positions 2700 to 2925 of the family's 2925-position model. Lineage: Bacteria; Pseudomonadati; Pseudomonadota; Betaproteobacteria; Neisseriales; Chromobacteriaceae. The record is from RNAcentral.
GACGAACCUCUGGUGUACCGGUUGUGACGCCAGUCGCAUUGCCGGGUAGCUAAGUUCGGAAGAGAUAACCGCUGAAAGCAUCUAAGCGGGAAACUUGCCUGAAGAUGAGACUUCCCUGGGCCCUUGAGGUCCCUGAAGAGUCGUUCGAGACCAGGACGUUGAUAGGUCGGGUGUGGAAGCGCUGUGAGGCGUUAAGCUAACCGAUACUAAUUGCUCGUGAGGCUUGAUCCU